CAUUGAGUGGGCCGUCUAAAGGGUGCUCAGAGAAAAAGUCUGCUAUUUGGUUUGUAAUUGCGGCCCUAGGCUUGAUGGGAGACGGUACCAGGAACUCAUCGCUAAGUUCCUCUUGCCUAAAAAGACAACUGUGAGCCUUGGUAACUUUGAUGUCAAGGCGAGAGAACAGGAAGAAGGAAAUAACAGCAAAACUGGCAAGGAAAGCAAUGUGAGGCUGAGGGACUUUAAUUGAAGUUUAUGGAUCUACUCACCAUAAUCUCCUGCCAUGUGGCUCCUGUUACACUGAGUUCAAGCUGCCAUUGUUGGUAUCUAAGCAAUUAAUAAGAAAUUUGUUCAGCAUUUUUGGGACAGCUGGCUGGCACUGCUUGAUGAAGGGUCAAUUACAUGAGGCUUACAAAAGUACAUUUUUUCAGAUAAUGAAAUGAUUAUAUCCAGAU
Molecule: long non-coding RNA, 437 nt
Filed under: Phasianus colchicus (ring-necked pheasant)
Lineage: Eukaryota; Metazoa; Chordata; Aves; Galliformes; Phasianidae
Description: lncRNA (ENSPCLG00000009183.1)
Source: RNAcentral